UACGUAGGGUGCGAGCGUUUGUCCGGAAUUACUGGGCGUAAAGAGCUCGUAGGCGGUUUGUCGCGUCGUCCGUGAAAACUUGGGGCUCAACCCCAAGCUUGCGGGCGAUACGGGCAGACUUGAGUACUGCAGGGGAGACUGGAAUUCCUGGUGUAGCGGUGAAAUGCGCAGAUAUCAGGAGGAACACCGGUGGCGAAGGCGGGUCUCUGGGCAGUAACUGACGCUGAGGAGCGAAAGCGUGGGUAGCAAACAGG
This 254-nucleotide ribosomal RNA is filed under the name uncultured bacterium. RNAcentral describes it as "partial 16S ribosomal RNA". It matches the Rfam family "Bacterial small subunit ribosomal RNA", at positions 524 to 776 of the family's 1533-position model. The record is from RNAcentral.